This 337-nucleotide ribosomal RNA is filed under the name Samia ricini (Indian eri silkmoth). Its description in RNAcentral is "partial 16S ribosomal RNA". Lineage: Eukaryota; Metazoa; Arthropoda; Insecta; Lepidoptera; Saturniidae. The record is from RNAcentral.
GUGCAAAGGUAGCAUAAUCAUUAGUCUCUUAAUUGGUGACUUGUAUGAAGGAUUGGAUGAGAUAUAAGCUGUCUUGAUAAUAUUUAAUUGAAUUUAAUUUUUUAUUUAAAAAGUUAAAAUAAUUUAAAAAGACGAGAAGACCCUAUAGAGUUUUAUAUUAAAUUAAAUUAAAAUUAUUUAUAUAAUUAUUAAUAUAGAUUUAAUUUUAGUAUUUUGUUGGGGUGACAAAAAAAUAAAUAAAACUUUUUUUAUUAUUUACAUAAAUAAAUGAAUUUUUGAUCCAAUUUUAUUGAUUAAAAGAAAAAAUUACCUUAGGGAUAACAGCGUAAUUUUUUUU